Molecule: ribosomal RNA, 301 nt
Filed under: uncultured bacterium
Lineage: Bacteria
Description: partial 16S ribosomal RNA
Rfam family: Bacterial small subunit ribosomal RNA
Source: RNAcentral
CAGCAGCCGCGGUAAUACGUAGGUGGCAAGCGUUGUCCGGAAUUAUUGGGCGUAAAGGGCUCGCAGGCGGUUUCUUAAGUCUGAUGUGAAAGCCCCCGGCUCAACCGGGGAGGGUCAUUGGAAACUGGGAAACUUGAGUGCAGAAGAGGAGAGUGGAAUUCCACGUGUAGCGGUGAGAUGCGUAGAGAUGUGGAGGAACACCAGUGGCGAAGGCGACUCUCUGGUCUGUAACUGACGCUGAGGAGCGAAAGCAUGGGGAGCGAACAGGAUUAGAUACCCGAGUAGUCCCUGUCUCUUAUAC